GGAGAGGUGGCCGAGUGGCUGAAGGCGCACGCCUGGAACGCGUGUGUGGGUUAACCGCCCACCGUGGGUUCGAAUCCCACCCUCUCCGCCA
This 91-nucleotide transfer RNA is filed under the name Campylobacterota bacterium. Its description in RNAcentral is "Epsilonproteobacteria bacterium (hydrothermal vent metagenome) tRNA-Ser". It matches the Rfam family "tRNA". From Rfam's summary of the family: Transfer RNA (tRNA) molecules are approximately 80 nucleotides in length. Lineage: Bacteria; Pseudomonadati; Campylobacterota. The record is from RNAcentral.